AGCAGCCGCGGUAAUUCCAGCUCCAAUAGCGUAUAUUAAAGUUGUUGCAGUUAAAAAGCUCGUAGUUGAAUUUCGGGAUUGACACAUCGGUCGUGCCUUAAGGGGUAUGAACUGGUGUAGUCAAUUUCUCACCUUCUGGAGAACCGCGAUGCCCUUAAUUGGGUGUCGCGGGGAACCAGGACCUUUACUUUGAAAAAAUUAGAGUGUUUAAAGCAGGCAUUUUGCUUGAAUACAUUAGCAUGGAAUAAUAAAAUAGGACGGCAUGAUUCUAUUUUGUUGGUUUCUAGGAUCACCGUAAUGAUUAAUAGGGAUAGUUGGGGGCAUUAGUAUUCAAUUGUCAGAGGUGAAAUUCUUGGAUUUAUUGAAGACUAACUACUGCGAAAGCAUUUGCCAAGGAUGUUUUCAUUAAUCAAGAACGAAAGUUAGGGGAUCGAAGACGAUCAGAUACCGUCAUAGUCUUAACCAUAAACUAUGCCGACUAGGGAUUGGAUGAUGUUAAUUUUUUAAUGACUCAUUCGGC
This 520-nucleotide unclassified non-coding RNA is filed under the name uncultured Glomus. RNAcentral describes it as "SSU rRNA". It matches the Rfam family "Eukaryotic small subunit ribosomal RNA", at positions 569 to 1084 of the family's 1831-position model. The record is from RNAcentral. Lineage: Eukaryota; Fungi; Glomeromycota; Glomeromycetes; Glomerales; Glomeraceae.